ACAUGCAAGUCGAGCGGCAGCGCGUCCGACCGACCCUCGGGGUGGUCGGAGUGGCGGCGAGCGGCGGACGGGUGAGGAAUGCAUCGGAAUCUGCCUCGGUUGUGGGGGAUAACGUAGGGAAACUUACGCUAAUACCGCAUACGACCUACGGGUGAAAGUGGGGGGACCUUCGGGCCUCACGCGAUGAGAUGAGCCGAUGCCGGAUUAGCUAGUUGGCGGGGUAAAGGCCCACCAAGGCGACGAUCCGUAGCUGGUCUGAGAGGAUGAUCAGCCACACUGGAACUGAGACACGGUCCAGACUCCUACGGGAGGCAGCAGUGGGGAAUAUUGGACAAUGGGGGGCAACCCUGAUCCAGCCAUGCCGCGUGUGUGAAGAAGGCCUUCGGGUUGUAAAGCACUUUUGUUGGGGAAGAAACCGGCCGGGUUAAUACCCUGGUUGAAUGACGGUACCCAAAGAAUAAGCACCGGCUAACUUCGUGCCAGCAGCCGCGGUAAUACGAAGGGGUGCAAGCGUUACUCGGAAUUACUGGGCGUAAAGCGUGCGUAGGC
This 549-nucleotide ribosomal RNA is filed under the name uncultured bacterium. RNAcentral's name for it is "bacterial SSU rRNA". It matches the Rfam family "Bacterial small subunit ribosomal RNA", at positions 53 to 576 of the family's 1533-position model. The record is from RNAcentral.